This 468-nucleotide ribosomal RNA is filed under the name uncultured bacterium. RNAcentral describes it as "partial 16S ribosomal RNA". It matches the Rfam family "Bacterial small subunit ribosomal RNA", at positions 28 to 507 of the family's 1533-position model. The record is from RNAcentral.
GACGAACGCUGGCGGCGUGCUUAACACAUGCAAGUCGAACGGAAAGGCCCUGCUUUUGUGGGGUGCUCGAGUGGCGAACGGGUGAGUAACACGUGAGUAACCUGCCCCUGACUUUGGGAUAACUUCAGGAAACUGGGGCUAAUACCGGAUAGGAGCUCCUGCUGCAUGGUGGGGGUUGGAAAGUUUCGGCGGUUGGGGAUGGACUCGCGGCUUAUCAGCUUGUUGGUGGGGUAGUGGCUUACCAAGGCUUUGACGGGUAGCCGGCCUGAGAGGGUGACCGGCCACAUUGGGACUGAGAUACGGCCCAGACUCCUACGGGAGGCAGCAGUGGGGAAUAUUGCACAAUGGGCGGAAGCCUGAUGCAGCAACGCCGCGUGCGGGAUGACGGCCUUCGGGUUGUAAACCGCUUUCGCCUGUGACGAAGCGUGAGUGACGGUAAUGGGUAGAGAAGCACCGGCUAACUACGUG